AGGCAAACAGCUUUAUUGCAUGCCUGUAGUCCCAGCUACUCGGGAGACUGAGAUGGGAGGAUCACUUGAGCCCAGGAGUUCUAGGUUGCAGUGCGCUAUGUUGAUCAGGUGUCUGCACUAAGUUUGGCAUCAAUAUGGUGACCUCCCGGGAACGGGGGACCACCAGGUUGCCUAAGGAGGGGUGAACUGGCCCAGGUCAGAAACAGAGCAGGUCAAAACUCCUGUGCUGAUCAGUAAUGGGAUCGCACCUGUGAAUAGCCACUGCACUCCAGCCUAGGCAACAUAGCAAGACCUCAUCUCU
RNAcentral lists this signal recognition particle RNA (301 nucleotides) under Cebus imitator (Panamanian white-faced capuchin). Its description in RNAcentral is "Metazoan signal recognition particle RNA (ENSCCAG00000002024.1)". It matches the Rfam family "Metazoan signal recognition particle RNA". From Rfam's summary of the family: The signal recognition particle (SRP) is a universally conserved ribonucleoprotein. It is involved in the co-translational targeting of proteins to membranes. The record is from RNAcentral. Lineage: Eukaryota; Metazoa; Chordata; Mammalia; Primates; Cebidae.